Long non-coding RNA from Pieris napi, 1451 nucleotides. RefSeq lists it as uncharacterized. The record is from RefSeq and is a predicted model, not a curated record. The transcript has 2 exons. NCBI's taxonomy places the organism in Eukaryota, Metazoa, Arthropoda, Insecta, Lepidoptera, Pieridae.
AUUAUUGUAGCGUCAUUUAGCCGCACGAAUGGUGCAUGUCCCUAUGGAAAUUGAAGCAAGGCGAACAAUCAAUACAACGAACUAGAAAAAGAGCCUUGAGAAACAAGGUACAGAAGACUUACUGUGGUAAUAAGUUUAAUCUAUUUUAUCUUGUAAUUUUUAUAACUGUUAACUGAUUAUAAAACCUAAUAAAACACGAUAAAAUACCAUACAUGUAGAAUACCUACUUACAAUGGUAGUAAGGUAAAUAAAAUGUUUAUAUAAGUUUAACAAACACCAUUUUGCAGCAAUCAUUCAAUUGACACAAACACUUAUCAUGUGAUCUAUGAAAAAGUGAAUGACAAGAAAUUUUAUUUGAUAAUGUAGCAGUUUCAUUAUUAGUAUUAAUAAAAAAACUAUCACUGUUAUUGCACUGCAUUAAAUAAAGUUCUCUUUUGUAUAUUUCCAUCAAAUUGUAUUUACCCUAUCAUGAAAAGAGAUAGAUCAAUGAUUUAAAAAAAAAAAAUAAAGAUUAGGAGUAAUUUAGUAUCUAUGAAAAAUGGGGUAAAUCUACAAACUAUAAAUAAAAUACCAAGCUGUACAAUGAAUGUAUAAACAAUAUUUGUGUGAUGUUCAUAACUAUAAGUGAUGAAUUAGUAAAAUAGUUUUCUUUAGGAAUAACCUUGAAUACAAUAGUUACAAUUUUGACAUUACAUUAACGUAACAAGUUUAUGUUAUAUACACUUAUGUUGGACAUUUUUAUUAUACACAGUACUAGGUGUAAUAUUCAAGUGUUGUAUAACUUAGGAAAUAGGACAUGAUUCAUUUGGGUACAAUAUAAGUGACAUUAAGACAGGAAAUAUAUAGUGAUGAAUGGUGAAUAGGCAAAGCUUGCAAUGUUUGCCAACAUUUACUUCAAAUAAACCACUUAUUUAUAGCAUUGCAGUACAUUCUGCCUAAAAUGUUUCUUUCAACAGGUAAAAUUAACUAGUUAUUAUUAUGAUAUAAGACUAAAUCAUUCAAUUAUGAUUAUGUAUAAAUUUUAAAAAUGUAUAUCAGACUAGGAUUGUUUUAAAGAAAAACAAGUGUUUUAAUAACUGUUGCCAGUUGUAAGGUGUAGGUGUAAGGUUAUUUACAUAUGUAAAUAUUAAUAAGUCACAUUAAGUACAAUAAAUUGUUGUUUAUCUACCACAAUUAUUUAUGAAAAACUUCUUGAUAAAAGCUGUUAUCUAGUGUUAAGCUUAAUUAAUCUGUGUUAGAAACUAUAUUUGUAUUUAUAUUUAACUUUAUUUGCUUUUAAAUUUUAUUAAAGGAAAUAUUUUCAAUAUGUACCUUUUGCAAUUCCUUUUCGAUUUCGCCGGCACGGGUUACUAGGGGUCCUCGAACCGCGUAUUCUAACUUUACAAUGUUAGGGUUUAUGUUAUCCAUAGUGAUUGCCUUUGAAGCCAUGGUUCUAGUAUUUGGGUAUGUAU